RNAcentral lists this ribosomal RNA (452 nucleotides) under Imogine cf. aomori YO-2019. Its description in RNAcentral is "partial 16S ribosomal RNA". It matches the Rfam family "Bacterial large subunit ribosomal RNA", at positions 1830 to 2597 of the family's 2925-position model. Lineage: Eukaryota; Metazoa; Platyhelminthes; Polycladida; Stylochidae. The record is from RNAcentral.
UUCCUUUAGAAUAUAUUUAAAGGUAUUGCCUGCUCAAUGUGAAAAUUAAUAGCUGCGGUAUCUUAACUGCACUAAGGUAGCGUAAUUAAUUGUCUUUUAAAUGGUGACUUGUUUGAAUGGUAAAAUGAGAAAACAACUAUCUUUGGUUUAAAUAGAAUUUAUAAUUUAAGGUUAAAAUACCUAAAUAUAAAAGAAAGACGAGAAGACCCUGUUGAGUUUUACAAAAUUAAUUAUUUUGUUAAAAUGGGAAAUUUAAUUCUUUAAUAGAAUUUUGUAGAUCCUGAAAGAUUUUAAAAGUCUUUUGGAUGUAGGAUAAAAUUACCACAGGGAUAACAGGACUAUAUUUUCUAAGAGUUCAAAUUGAAGAAAAUGUUUGUUACCUCGAUGUUGAAUCGAAAUUGCUUUUUAGUGCAGCAGCUAGGAUAGCAGGUCUGUUCGACCUUUAAAAUUUC